Molecule: long non-coding RNA, 1347 nt
Filed under: Salmo salar (Atlantic salmon)
Lineage: Eukaryota; Metazoa; Chordata; Actinopteri; Salmoniformes; Salmonidae
Description: lncRNA (ENSSSAG00000093379.1)
Source: RNAcentral
CAAAAUGUGGAAUACGUCAAGGGGUGGACAUGCACAUUGGUGGAGAGCAAGUCGAGACGCACACGGGGGCAGAGUUAGGCUCCGCCUCACCCCCUCCAGCUGAGGAGAAAGCUGUCGCAGAUCUCCGCAGUGGUCUCUACUCCUACAGACGAAGGGAGUUGACCUACACCAGGAGUGGAGACAAGGGAGACUCUGAUAACAGGGGAGGGGUGUUUCUGACCAUGCUGAGUUAACAGGCAGUACAGGGGUUUUAAUGACCUGGUAGUCAAUACCAGGGGUUUUAAUGACCUGGUAGUCAGUACCAGGGGACCAGGGGUUUUAAUGACCUGGUAGUCAAUACCAGGGGAGCAGGGGUUUUAAUGACCUGGUAGUCAAUACCAGGGGACCAGGGGUUUUAAUGACCUGGUAGUCAAUACCAGGGGAGCAUCGGUUUUAAUGACCUGGUAGUCCUCAGGGACAAAACAUUAGGAACACCUUCCUAAUAUUGAGUUCCAGCCCCUUCUGUCCUCAGAACAGCCUCAGUUGGUCGGGGAAUGGACUCUACAAGGUGUCAAAAGCAUUUCCACAGGGACGCUGGCCCAUGUUGACUCCAAUGCUUCUCACCGUUGUGGCAAGUUGGCUGGAUGUCCUUUGGGUGGUGGACCGUUCUUGAUACACACAGGAAACUGUUGAGAGUGGGGAAAAACCCAGCAGCGUUGCAGUUCUUGACACAAACCUGUGCGCCUGGCACCUACUACCAUACCCCGUUCAAAGGCACUUACAUAUUUUUGUCUUGUCCAUUUACCCUCUGAAUGGCACACAUACACAAUCCAUGUCUCAAUUGUCUCAAGGCUUAAAAAAAUCAUUUUUUAAAAAUGUCUCCUCCCCUUCAUCUACACUGAUUGAAGUGGAUUUAACAGGUGACAUCAAUAAGGGAUCAUAUCUUUCACCUGGAUUCACCUGGUCAGUCUAUGUCAUGGAAAGAGCAGGUGUUCUUAAUGUUUUGUACACUCUCUGUGACUUGUUUUUACUACUGAAACAGCUUUGUUGCUACAGCAUCUCUGACUGUGUCACAAAUGGCACCUUAUUCCCUAUAUAGUGAACCAGGACCCUAUGAGCCCUGGUCUAAAGUAGGGCACUAUAUAGGGAAUAGGGUGCCAUCUCUGGUCUAAAGUAGUGCACUAUAUAGGGAAUAGGGUGCCAGCCCUGGUCUAAAGUAGUGCCCUAUAUAGGGAAUAGGGUGCCAGCCCUGGUCUAAAGUAGUGCCCUAUAUAGGGAAUAGGGUGCCAGCCCUGGUCUAAAGUAGUGCACUAUAUAGGGAAUAGUGUGCAAUUCGGAACGCAGCCUCUGUGUCCUCCAGCAGUAAAC